GGAAUGGAUGUUAUAAGCAGACAGACAGACUGAGUUAAACUGAGUCAUGAAAAAAUAUAUAUUUUAAAGUUUUUGGAAUCAUUUCCAGAAACUAAUAAAGGGAAUUAUUUACUGGUAGUAUUGAGUCUGUGAGAUUGUAGUAUAUACUGAAACAAUCUUCUGGAUGGUGGUAAGGUCUUUUUUAGCAAACACAGUAAAGAGCUUAUUUCAUUUCUGAUGCUUUCAAGGGCAUAUUCCAAAGUAUCACAGAUGUCAAAUAGAAUAUGCUAUAUAAACCAAAAAUGUGCAUUUCAGAUGACCUAUUACAGCAAUCUCAGCCAAUAUGUAAUAUCACAAAAUGUGUCAAGUCAAUCAUAUAAGAGGAUCUAAUCAUUCGGCUGUAUUUCAUGUACCUUCAUGUUGUUGAUAUAUUGUGACCACAGGAAAUAGGUGCCAGAGCAUAUGCAGUUAAGUUACAGGCUCCACGUUGCCUAGGAGGGAAUCAUAACUACAUCAGAAAAUUUUUAACAGUUAUAUCUUAAAAAUUAGAAUUUUAUGUAAUAAAUAAAGCGGCAACCAGGAAUAGCAACGCAACAAAUAUGAAAGCUAAUUAUUAUAUUUAGCUUUCAUAUUUAUAUAAUAUGAUGGAAAUGGAGGAGGAAAAAUGAGUCUUUUGUUAAAUAUAAAGACAAACUAUAACACUCCUUGAUAAUACAACUGGAAAUUUUACUUUAGCAAGCAUAAAAUAGUGGAGGAAAAAAAUCCAACUUCAAGCUCUUUGCACUAGUGAUGAUUAUGUGAUAUAUCAAUGUAAUAUUUAGCCAGUGGUCAUUAGAUGUUACUGUGCUUAAACACAUCUGAUACUCAUGCAUUGCCUUACAGGCUAAAAAUGUAAGAGGUAGGUGUUCAGUAACCUCAAGUUGGAAAGAUAUAUAAUGUUAGAAUCCCC
RNAcentral lists this long non-coding RNA (928 nucleotides) under Homo sapiens (human). Its description in RNAcentral is "long non-coding RNA NONHSAT256039". The record is from RNAcentral. Lineage: Eukaryota; Metazoa; Chordata; Mammalia; Primates; Hominidae.